Molecule: long non-coding RNA, 1209 nt
Organism: Cyprinus carpio carpio
Lineage: Eukaryota; Metazoa; Chordata; Actinopteri; Cypriniformes; Cyprinidae
Source: Ensembl
GGACGUCACCAUGGAAACGGGGCGGCAGCUCAACUGUCAAGCAGCUGAACGCUGUCUCUCAUGGUUGUUUUUACUAAUUUCAGAAAUGGUUUAUUGUCUUCAGAAAAAGUCCGUUAGCAUCUCAACCUUAAUGCUAACUACAAGAGAGUUUAGCUCCAACCCCAAUUAAGCAGACCUGAGCAGCUGAUCAAAGAUCACCAGAAACUCUGCAGAACGGUGGUCCUGCAUGCCCAGGACUGGACACCAGUGUUAUGCUGGAGAAAAAACAGCGAAAAAACAUCUGCCAUGGCUCAUUAAUCCAGAAUUGGGAUGGUGGAAGGAGCAGAAGAACCAGAAGAUCAGAGAUCAGGCAGAGAUCUACUGGUGCCCCUGUGGGAACCAAUUUACCUAAUGAGUUAGUUAAACCAAAGAUUUUCAUCACUCACCUUCAUGUUGUUCCAAGUCAGACUUUUGUUCAUCUUUGAAACAUAAAUGCAGAACUUUUUAAUGAAAUCUGAGAAAUUAAUUUUUUUAUUUAUAAAAUAACACAUUCACGAGAGCACCAUGAUGCAUUAGUGUUGAGUUGGCGUGAGAGCUGGCAAUCUCAUGGUACUUUUGUGAAAAUCUGUUGGGGAUACAUCAUUUCUGAAUACAUUUUUGCUGUUGUUGUUUUUUUGUACACAAGGCAUCUGUUAAAAAACCUUAAUUUGUGUUCUGCACAAAAGGGUCUUAUGGGUUUGGAGCAACAUGAGGGUAAGUAAUUAAUGACAGAAUUUACAUUUUUGGUUGUUCUAAUGUGGUUAUUAUUGGUCAUUAUUUCCAUUUUCAAUAUUUUAAAGAUUUAUUGUCUUGAAAAAUUAUGUUUAUACAGAAAGAUUGAUUCAUUGGAUAAGUUACAGUAAAGACUUUUAAAUUGAUAAAAAAUUAAAAUAAAUACUGCUCUUUUGCAAGCUCUAUUAAAAAAUACUGAUAAAUUUAAUGGUUUCAACAAAAUAUUAAGCAGCACAACUGUUUUCAACAUUGAUAAUAAUCAGAAAUGUUUCUUGAGCAGCAAAUCAUCAUAUUAGAAUGAUUUUUGAAGAUCAUGUGACACUGAAGACUGGAGUAAUGAUGCUGAAAAUUCAGUUUACAUGGAUAAAUUACAUUUUACAAUGCAUCCGCAUAGAAAAACAAUUAUUUCUGUAGUUAUAUUUCACAAUAUUACUGUUUUUACGGUCUGUUUAAUCAAAU